Molecule: ribosomal RNA, 489 nt
Filed under: uncultured bacterium
Lineage: Bacteria
Description: partial 16S ribosomal RNA
Rfam family: Bacterial small subunit ribosomal RNA
Source: RNAcentral
AUUGAACGCUGGCGGCAGGCCUAACACAUGCAAGUCGAACGGUAACAGGAAGAAGCUUGCUUCUUUGCUGACGAGUGGCGGACGGGUGAGUAAUGUCUGGGAAACUGCCUGAUGGAGGGGGAUAACUACUGGAAACGGUAGCUAGUACCGCAUAACGUCGCAAGACCAAAGAGGGGGACCUUCGGGCCUCUUGCCAUCGGAUGUGCCCAGAUGGGAUUAGCUAGUAGGUGGGGUAACGGCUCACCUAGGCGCCGAUCCCUAGCUGGUCUGAGAGGAUGACCAGCCACACUGGAACUGAGACACGGUCCAGACUCCUACGGGAGGCAGCAGUGGGGAAUAUUGCACAAUGGGCGCAAGCCUGAUGCAGCCAUGCCGCGUGUAUGAAGAAGGCCUUCGGGUUGUAAAGUACUUUCAGCGGGGAGGAAGGGAGUAAAGUUAAUACCUUUGCUCAUUGACGUUACCCGCAGAAGAAGCACCGGCUAACUCCGU